AUAUAAUUGAAAAAAUUACAAAAAAUUUUACAUAUAUAACAAAAUAAAAUUUGUUUUAAAUUAUGAUAAUAAUGAUUAUAUAAAAAUAAAUAUAGAUCAAACUCAAAUAAGGGAAACCAAACACAUGAACAUAAAUGCAAGUCACGUGUAAAGAAAUUUCAAAUUCUAAUUUUUUUCUAUAUAAAAUCAGAAUUUAAAGAACAUCAUGAUCUCACAAUGUAUCAUCAAAAUUUAAAUUUGAUUAAUUUGUAUUUAAUAAUUCAACUUUUUUGAUCAUGUUGUUUCGCUUAUUUUUUUUUUUUUUUUUUGUACUCUAUCCACUCCCACCUGAGUGGCAGUGGCAAGAGCUGUAGGAGACGCGGCAAUGAUCUGUGCUGGCGAAGAGUUUCCCUUAGAUGAAUCCGUGCUGCUGAGGCGAACAACUCCCACCGUCUGCUGUUGUUGUUGCGAUUGUCCACCUUGUCCUUGACUGGAUGAAUGCGAUGGAUGCGAUGAGGAAUGAGGAGUUGAUUGUUGUAUCAGUACAUUUGAUUUAUCAUCUUCUUCACUGAAUGCAGAUCUUGCAUCCAUGCGUACAUUUGCCCAAGGAAGUUCUUUUGGCCACCAUGGUGGUCGUGUACUAUCUCUUCCCCAACCAGGUUUACCUCUGCCUGUAGAAUACUUUAACAUUAAUGGGAUGAAUGCUCUAAGUUGAGCUUGUGUCAUUUUUUCCACAGGUGUUGGUAUGCCAUCUAUUAUAAGAG
Molecule: long non-coding RNA, 743 nt
Organism: Apis florea (little honeybee)
Lineage: Eukaryota; Metazoa; Arthropoda; Insecta; Hymenoptera; Apidae
Source: RefSeq, a predicted model, not a curated record